This 495-nucleotide ribosomal RNA is filed under the name uncultured bacterium. RNAcentral's name for it is "partial 16S ribosomal RNA". It matches the Rfam family "Bacterial small subunit ribosomal RNA", at positions 28 to 507 of the family's 1533-position model. The record is from RNAcentral.
GACGAACGCUGGCGGCGUGCCUAAUACAUGCAAGUAGAACGCUGAAGGAGGAGCUUGCUUCUCCGGAUGAGUUGCGAACGGGUGAGUAACGCGUAGGUAACCUGCCUGGUAGCGGGGGAUAACUAUUGGAAACGAUAGCUAAUACCGCAUAAGAGUAGAUGUCGCAUGACAUUUGCUUAAAAGGUGCACCUGCACCACUACCAGAUGGACCUGCGUUGUAUUUGCUAGUUGGUGAGGUAACGGCUCACCAAGGCAACGAUACAUAGCCGACCGGAGAGGGUGAUCGGCAAAACUGGGAAUGAGAAAAGGCCCAGAAGCAUAAGGGAGGCAGCAGUAGGGAAUCGGCGGCAAUGGACGGAAGUAUGACCGAGCAAAGCCGAGGGAGUGAAGAAGGUUUUCGGAACGUAAAGCUCUGUUGUAAGAGAAGAACGAGUGUGAGAGUGGAAAGUUCACACUGUGACGGUAUCUUAACAGAAAGGGACGGCUAACUACGUG